AACGAACGCUGGCGGCAGGCUUAACACAUGCAAGUCGAACGAGAAGCUUGGCUUCGGCCAAGUGGAAAGUGGCAGACGGGUGAGUAACGCGUGGGAACGUACCCUUUGGUUCGGAACAACUCCGGGAAACUGGAGCUAAUACCGGAUGUGCCCUUCGGGGGAAAGAUUUAUCGCCAUAGGAUCGGCCCGCGUCGGAUUAGCUUGUUGGUGGGGUAACGGCCUACCAAGGCUAUGAUCCGUAGCUGGUCUGAGAGGAUGAUCAGCCACACUGGGACUGAGACACGGCCCAGACUCCUACGGGAGGCAGCAGUGGGGAAUAUUGGACAAUGGGCGCAAGCCUGAUCCAGCCAUGCCGCGUGAGUGAUGAAGGCCCUAGGGUUGUAAAGCUCUUUCGCCAGGGACGAUAAUGACGGUACCUGGAUAAGAAGCCCCGGCUAACUUCG
This 443-nucleotide ribosomal RNA is filed under the name uncultured Hyphomicrobiales bacterium. Its description in RNAcentral is "bacterial SSU rRNA". It matches the Rfam family "Bacterial small subunit ribosomal RNA", at positions 29 to 505 of the family's 1533-position model. The record is from RNAcentral. Lineage: Bacteria; Pseudomonadati; Pseudomonadota; Alphaproteobacteria; Hyphomicrobiales.